RNAcentral lists this ribosomal RNA (392 nucleotides) under uncultured bacterium. RNAcentral's name for it is "partial 16S ribosomal RNA". It matches the Rfam family "Bacterial small subunit ribosomal RNA", at positions 523 to 918 of the family's 1533-position model. The record is from RNAcentral.
AUACGGAGGAUGCGAGCGUUAUCCGGAUUUAUUGGGUUUAAAGGGAGCGUAGGCGGGAGCUUAGGUCAGCGGUUAAAUGGUGCGGCUCAACCGUGCCCUGCCGUUGAAACUGGGUUUCUUGAGAGUGCAAGAGGCGGAUGGAAUUCAUGGUGUAGCGGUGAAAUGCUUAGAUAUCACACAGAACACCGAUUGCGAAGGCAUCUCACAAAUCCGCUAUUGACGCUGAGGCACGAAGGUGCGGGGAUCGAACAGGAUUAGAUACCCUGGUAGUCCGCACAGUAAACGAUGAUGACUCGCUGUCGGCGAUAGACAGUCGGUGGCCAAGCGAAAGCGAUAAGUCAUCCACCUGGGGAGUACGACCGCAAGGUUGAAACUCAAAUGAAUUGGCGGGG